GAGUUGGCCAGACAAUCGCUGUAGUUCGCUAUAGAGGAAAGUCCGGGCUCCUUCGGACAGGGCGCCAGGUAACGCCUGGGAGGCGCGAGCCUAUGGAAAGUGCCACAGAAAAUAUACCGCCGGCGCGAUCCUCGGAUCAUCGUCGGUAAGGGUGAAAAGGUGCGGUAAGAGCGCACCGCGCGACCGGUAACGGUUCGUGGCAUGGUAAACCCCGCCCGGAGCAAGACCAAAUAGGGGAGUAUGCAGGCUUAGCUUGCACCGUCGGUCCCGAGCGGACUCCCGGGUAGGUUGCUUGAGGUGGCUGGUGACAGUCAUCCCAGAUGAAUGAUUGUUCUCGACAGAACCCGGCUUAUUGCUGG
Molecule: RNase P RNA, 359 nt
Filed under: marine eukaryotic metagenome
Description: Bacterial RNase P class A
Rfam family: Bacterial RNase P class A
About the family: Ribonuclease P (RNase P) is a ubiquitous endoribonuclease, found in archaea, bacteria and eukarya as well as chloroplasts and mitochondria. Its best characterised activity is the generation of mature 5'-ends of tRNAs by cleaving the 5'-leader elements of precursor-tRNAs. Cellular RNase Ps are ribonucleoproteins.
Source: RNAcentral